AUUGAACGCUGGCGACAUGCCUUACACAUGCAAGUCGAACGGCAGCACGGGUGCUUGCACCUGGUGGCGAGUGGCGAACGGGUGAGUAAUACAUCGGAACAUGUCCUGUAGUGGGGGAUAGCCCGGCGAAAGCCGGAUUAAUACCGCAUACGAUCUACGGAUGAAAGCGGGGGACCUUCGGGCCUCGCGCUAUAGGGUUGGCCGAUGGCUGAUUAGCUAGUUGGUGGGGUAAAGGCCUACCAAGGCGACGAUCAGUAGCUGGUCUGAGAGGACGACCAGUCACACUGGGACUGAGACACGGCCCAGACUCCUACGGGAGGCAGCAGUGGGGAAUUUUGGACAAUGGGCGAAAGCCUGAUCCAGCAAUGCCGCGUGUGUGAAGAAGGCCUUCGGGUUGUAAAGCACUUUUGUCCGGAAAGAAAUCCUUGGCCCUAAGACGGUCGGGGGAGGACGGUACCGGAAGAAUAAGCACCGGCGAACUACGG
Molecule: ribosomal RNA, 485 nt
Filed under: uncultured bacterium
Lineage: Bacteria
Description: partial 16S ribosomal RNA
Rfam family: Bacterial small subunit ribosomal RNA
Source: RNAcentral